Molecule: non-coding RNA, 72 nt
Organism: Phrynosoma platyrhinos (Desert horned lizard)
Lineage: Eukaryota; Metazoa; Chordata; Lepidosauria; Squamata; Phrynosomatidae
Source: the annotation of a GenBank genome assembly
GCCAGCAUGGUGUAGUUGUUUGAACAUUCGACUGUGACUCUAGAGACCAGGAUUCAAAUCCCUGUUCAGUCA